GAUGAACGCUGGCGGCGUGCCUAAUACAUGCAAGUCGAGCGAAUGGAUUAAGAGCUUGCUCUUAUGAAGUUAGCGGCGGACGGGUGAGUAACACGUGGGUAACCUGCCCAUAGGACUGGGAUAACUCCGGGAAACCGGGGCUAAUACCGGAUAACAUUUUGAACCGCAUGGUUCGAAAUUGAAAGGCGGCUUCGGCUGUCACUUAUGGAUGGACCCGCGUCGCAUUAGCUAGUUGGUGAGGUAACGGCUCACCAAGGCAACGAUGCGUAGCCGAACUGGGAGGGUGAUCGGCCACACUGGGACGGAGACCCGGCCCAGAAUCCUACGGGAGGCAGCAGUAGGGAAUCUUCCGAAAUGGACGAAAGUCUGACGGAGCAACGCCGCGUGAGUGAUGAAGGCUUUCGGGUCGUAAAACUCUGUUGUUAGGGAAGAACAAGUGCUAGUUGAAUAAGCUGGCACCUUGACGGUACCUAACCAGAAAGCCACGGCUAACUACGUGCCAGCAGCCGCGGUAA
RNAcentral lists this ribosomal RNA (515 nucleotides) under uncultured bacterium. RNAcentral's name for it is "partial 16S ribosomal RNA". It matches the Rfam family "Bacterial small subunit ribosomal RNA", at positions 28 to 523 of the family's 1533-position model. The record is from RNAcentral.